CUACGGGAGGCACCAGUGGGGAAUCUUGGACAAUGGGCGCAAGCCUGAUCCAGCCAUGCCGCGUGAGUGAAGAAGGCCUUAGGGUCGUAAAGCUCUUUCGCCAGAGAUGAUAAUGACAGUAUCUGGUAAAGAAACCCCGGCUAACUCCGUGCCAGCAGCCGCGGUAAUACGGAGGGGGUUAGCGUUGUUCGGAAUUACUGGGCGUAAAGCGCGCGUAGGCGGAUUAGUCAGUCAGAGGUGAAAUCCCAGGGCUCAACCCUGGAACUGCCUUUGAUACUGCUAGUCUUGAGUUCGAGAGAGGUGAGUGGAAUUCCGAGUGUAGAGGUGAAAUUCGUAGAUAUUCGGAGGAACACCAGUGGCGAAGGCGGCUCACUGGCUCGAUACUGACGCUGAGGUGCGAAAGUGUGGGGAGCAAACAGGAUUAGAUACCCCAGUAGUC
RNAcentral lists this ribosomal RNA (439 nucleotides) under uncultured bacterium. RNAcentral describes it as "partial 16S ribosomal RNA". It matches the Rfam family "Bacterial small subunit ribosomal RNA", at positions 339 to 795 of the family's 1533-position model. The record is from RNAcentral.